RNAcentral lists this ribosomal RNA (3192 nucleotides) under Photorhabdus luminescens. RNAcentral's name for it is "23S ribosomal RNA". It matches the Rfam family "Bacterial large subunit ribosomal RNA". Lineage: Bacteria; Pseudomonadati; Pseudomonadota; Gammaproteobacteria; Enterobacterales; Morganellaceae. RNAcentral also lists the same sequence under 1 other name. The record is from RNAcentral.
GGGUUGUGAGGUUAAGCGAAUAAGCGUACACGGUGGAUGCCUAGGCAGUCAGAGGCGAUGAAGGACGUGCUAAUCUGCGAAAAGCGUCGGUAAGCUGAUAUGAAGCGAUAUAGCCGGCGAUGUCCGAAUGGGGAAACCCAGUGCAAUGCGUUGCACUAUCAUUAACUGAAUCCAUAGGUUAAUGAGGCGAACCGGGGGAACUGAAACAUCUCAGUACCCCGAGGAAAAGAAAUCAACCGAGAUUCCCCCAGUAGCGGCGAGCGAACGGGGAGCAGCCCAGAACCAGCAUCAGCGAUGCCAUCAGAGGAACGGUCUGGAAAGGCCGGCGAGAGAGGGUGACAGCCCCGUACUCGAAGGUGGCAUGGCUGUGAGUUCGACGAGUAAGGCGGGACACGAGAAAUCCUGUCUGAAGAGGGGGGGACCAUCCUCCAAGGCUAAAUACUCCUGACUGACCGAUAGUGAACCAGUACCGUGAGGGAAAGGCGAAAAGAACCCCGGCGAGGGGAGUGAAAGAGAACCUGAAACCGUGUACGUACAAGCAGUGGGAGCCCCACCACCAAAGCGUUUCGCUUUGCGUGGCGCACAAAAUGCGUAACGUCAUCUCAGAUGACGGUUGGCGGAGCGGCAGCGACGCCCAACACACUAAUCAAGCAGUGGAGCGUUUUGGGGUGGGGUGACUGCGUACCUUUUGUAUAAUGGGUCAGCGACUUAUAUUCUGUAGCAAGGUUAACCGUAUAGGGGAGCCGCAGGGAAACCGAGUCUUAACUGGGCGAAGUAGUUGCAGGGUAUAGACCCGAAACCCGGUGAGCUAGCCAUGGGCAGGUUGAAGGUUGGGUAACACUAACUGGAGGACCGAACCGACUAAUGUUGAAAAAUUAGCGGAUGACCUGUGGCUGGGGGUGAAAGGCCAAUCAAACCGGGAGAUAGCUGGUUCUCCCCGAAAGCUAUUUAGGUAGCGCCUCGUGAAGUCAUCUUCGGGGGUAGAGCACUGUUUCGGCUAGGGGGCCAUCCCGGCUUACCAACCCGAUGCAAACUGCAAAUACCGAAGAAUGUUAUCACGGGAGACACACGGCGGGUGCUAACGUCCGUCGUGAAGAGGGAAACAACCCAGACCGCCAGCUAAGGUCCCGAAGUCAUGGUUAAGUGGGAAACGAGGUGGGAAGGCCCAGACAGCCAGGAUGUUGGCUUAGAAGCAGCCAUCAUUGAAAGAAAGCGUAAUAGCUCACUGGUCGAGUCGGCCUGCGCGGAAGAUGUAACGGGGCUAAACCAUGCACCGAAGCUGCGGCAUUCAGAGGACAGAUUUCAGACGACAGAGGACGGAAUGAUGUCUUGAAGAGUUUGAUUAAUCAGGUUCUGGAUAGUAAUCGUCUGUGGCUGUGAAGCCAUAGCGAAAAUGCUGACCGGAUUGGGGCGUCAUCUGUAAGCUGUAUUCUGACGUCUGUUCUCUGGAUGGGUAGGGGAGCGUUCUGUAAGCCGUUGAAGGUGGCGCUGUGAGGCCCGCUGGAGGUAUCAGAAGUGCGAAUGCUGACAUAAGUAACGAUAAAGCGGGUGAAAAACCCGCUCGCCGGAAGACCAAGGGUUCCUGUCCAACGUUAAUCGGGGCAGGGUGAGUCGACCCCUAAGGCGAGGCCGAACGGCGUAGCUGAUGGGAAACAGGUUAAUAUUCCUGUACUGAAUGUGACUGCGAAGGGGGGACGGAGAAGGCUAGGCCAUCCGGGCGACGGUCGUCCCGGUUUAAGCGUGUAGGUGGGAGGAGCAGGCAAAUCCGCUCUUCUGUAACACUGAGGCGUGAUGACGAGCUGCUACGGCAGUGAAGUGGUUGAUGCCCGGCUUCCAGGAAAAGCCUCUAAGCAUCAGGUGACAUUGAAUCGUACCCCAAACCGACACAGGUGGUCAGGUAGAGAAUACUCAGGCGCUUGAGAGAACUCGGGUGAAGGAACUAGGCAAAAUGGUGCCGUAACUUCGGGAGAAGGCACGCUGGCGGUAGGUGAAGGAGUUUGCCUCCGGAGCCGAAGCCAGUCGCAGAGACCAGCUGGCUGCAACUGUUUAUUAAAAACACAGCACUGUGCAAACACGUAAGUGGACGUAUACGGUGUGACGCCUGCCCGGUGCUGGAAGGUUAAUUGAUGGGGUUAGCCGCAAGGCGACGCUCUUGAUCGAAGCCCCAGUAAACGGCGGCCGUAACUAUAACGGUCCUAAGGUAGCGAAAUUCCUUGUCGGGUAAGUUCCGACCUGCACGAAUGGCGUAAUGAUGGCCAGGCUGUCUCCACCCGAGACUCAGUGAAAUUGAACUCGCUGUGAAGAUGCAGUGUCCCCGCGGCAAGACGGAAAGACCCCGUGAACCUUUACUAUAGCUUGACACUGAACAUGGAGCCUUGAUGUGUAGGAUAGGUGGGAGGCCUGGAAGUGCGGACGCCAGUCUGCAUGGAGCCAUCCUUGAAAUACCACCCUUGAAUGCUCGAUGUUCUCACUUAAGCCCGUUAUCCGGGCUGAGGACAGUGUCUGGCGGGUAGUUUGACUGGGGCGGUCUCCUCCCAAAGCGUAACGGAGGAGCACGAAGGUUGGCUAAUCACGGUCGGACAUCGUGAGGUUAGUGCAAAGGCAUAAGCCAGCUUAACUGCGAGAGUGACGGCUCGAGCAGGUACGAAAGUAGGUCUUAGUGAUCCGGUGGUUCUGAAUGGAAGGGCCAUCGCUCAACGGAUAAAAGGUACUCCGGGGAUAACAGGCUGAUACCGCCCAAGAGUUCAUAUCGACGGCGGUGUUUGGCACCUCGAUGUCGGCUCAUCACAUCCUGGGGCUGAAGUAGGUCCCAAGGGUAUGGCUGUUCGCCAUUUAAAGUGGUACGCGAGCUGGGUUUAGAACGUCGUGAGACAGUUCGGUCCCUAUCUGCCGUGGGCGCAGGAAGAUUGAAAGGGGCUGCUCCUAGUACGAGAGGACCGGAGUGGACGCACCGCUGGUGUACGGGUUGUCAUGCCAAUGGCAUCGCCCGGUAGCUAAGUGCGGGAGAGAUAACCGCUGAAAGCAUCUAAGCGGGAAACUUGCCUUGAGAUGAGUCUUCCCUUGACUUUAGUCACGGAAGGAACGUUUAAGACGAAGACGUGGAUAGGCUGGGUGUGUAAGCGCAGCGAUGCGUUGAGCUGACCAGUACUAAUGAACCGAGCGGCUUAACCUUACAACGCCGAAGGGGUUUUG